Molecule: ribosomal RNA, 654 nt
Filed under: uncultured Vibrionaceae bacterium
Lineage: Bacteria; Pseudomonadati; Pseudomonadota; Gammaproteobacteria; Vibrionales; Vibrionaceae
Description: bacterial SSU rRNA
Rfam family: Bacterial small subunit ribosomal RNA
Source: RNAcentral
CUGCUCAGAUUGAACGCUGGCGGCAGGCCUAACACAUGCAAGUCGAGCGGAAACGAGAAUAGCUUGCUAUUCGGCGUCGAGCGGCGGACGGGUGAGUAAUACCUGGGAAAUUGCCCUGAUGUGGGGGAUAACCAUUGGAAACGAUGGCUAAUACUGCAUAGUAUCUGCGGAUUAAAGGGGGCUUAGGCUCUUGCUUUAAGAUGAACCCAAGUGGGAUUAGCUAGUUGGUGAGGUAAUGGCUCACCAAGGCGACGAUCCCUAGCUGGUCUGAGAGGAUGAUCAGCCACACUGGAACUGAGACACGGUCCAGACUCCUACGGGAGGCAGCAGUGGGGAAUAUUGCACAAUGGGCGAAAGCCUGAUGCAGCCAUGCCGCGUGUGUGAAGAAGGCCCUAGGGUUGUAAAGCACUCUCAGUCAGGAGGAAAGGUUAGUAGUUAAUACCUGCUAGCUGUGACGUUACUGACAGAAGAAGCACCGGCUAACUUCGUGCCAGCAGCCGCGGUAAUACGAGGGGUGCAAGCGUUAAUCGGAAUUACUGGGCGUAAAGCGAGCGCAGGCGGCUGAAUAAGCUGGAUGUGAAAAACCGGGGCUCAACCUCGGCCGUGCAUUCAGAACUGUUUAGCUAGAGUCCUGUAGAGGGGGGUAGAAUUUCA